CCAACAGACCAUGUGAUUUCCUAGUAUCACAUUAUAGGUUAACAACAGCUAAAGAACACUGUUAAAAGUGCAGUGCUCUAAACUGAUGACUAAAAGUAUCAUUUUCUUAGAGAGAUAGUUUUGUAGAGAUGAGGUUUCACCAUGUUGUCCAGGCUGGUCUCAAACUCCUGGACUCAAGCAAUCCUCCCACCUCAGCCUCCCAAAGAGCUCAACUCAAUUGGGCUAAUUUCAAUAUGUUGUGUCUCAGGGAACAGCAACGUCUGAGGAGAGGAAGAGAGAUGGAGGGAAUGGCUGGUUGGUGAAGCAGUCAGAACACAUACAACAUUUGUAAUUUAUGCUCACUGUCUUACAUGGUCAUGGUUUGUGGCGUACACCAAAACUUUCCCAGGCUAACUGGGACACAGGGUAACUCUAGUUAUAAACACAUCGAUGCAAAAACAUUUAAGAUUAAUGGGAUUGAGGUACAUUCCCAGUUCUUAAGGGGCUAUCAUCAAUUCUUCAAUUGUUCUUCCCAAGCUCCUACUUUUGGAAAGCAUUAGCCACUAGUAAGGGAAAGAAGCCAAAGGAUUCUCUUUUAUAAUUUUGUCCCUUGAACUGGGAUA
RNAcentral lists this long non-coding RNA (602 nucleotides) under Pan troglodytes (chimpanzee). Its description in RNAcentral is "long non-coding RNA NONPTRT012747". The record is from RNAcentral. Lineage: Eukaryota; Metazoa; Chordata; Mammalia; Primates; Hominidae.